This 885-nucleotide ribosomal RNA is filed under the name Neodidymelliopsis negundinis. Its description in RNAcentral is "partial large subunit ribosomal RNA". It matches the Rfam family "Eukaryotic large subunit ribosomal RNA", at positions 37 to 944 of the family's 3401-position model. The record is from RNAcentral. Lineage: Eukaryota; Fungi; Ascomycota; Dothideomycetes; Pleosporales; Didymellaceae.
AGCAACAUAAGCGGAGGAAAAGGAACCAACAGGGAUUGCCCUAGUAACGGCGAGUGAAGCGGCAACAGCUCAAAUUUGAAAUCUGGCGUCUUUGGCGUCCGAGUUGUAAUUUGCAGAGGGCGCUUUGGCAUCGGCAGCGGUUCAAGUUCCUUGGAACAGGACGUCACAGAGGGUGAGAAUCCCGUACGUGAUCGCUAGCCUUUACCGUGUAAAGCCCCUUCGACGAGUCGAGUUGUUUGGGAAUGCAGCUCUAAAUGGGAGGUAAAUUUCUUCUAAAGCUAAAUACUGGCCAGAGACCGAUAGCGCACAAGUAGAGUGAUCGAAAGAUGAAAAGCACUUUGGAAAGAGAGUUAAAAAGCACGUGAAAUUGUUGAAAGGGAAGCGCUUGCAGCCAGACUUGCCUGUAGUUGCUCAUCCGGGUUUUUACCCGGUGCACUCUUCUAUAGGCAGGCCAGCAUCAGUUUGGGCGGUUGGAUAAAGGUCUCUGUCAUGUACCUCUCUUCGGGGAGAACUUAUAGGGGAGACGACAUGCAACCAGCCUGGACUGAGGUCCGCGCAUCUGCUAGGAUGCUGGCGUAAUGGCUGUAAGCGGCCCGUCUUGAAACACGGACCAAGGAGUCUAACAUCUAUGCGAGUGUUUGGGUGUCAAGCCCGAACGCGUAAUGAAAGUGAACGGAGGUGGGAACCUUUCGGGGUGCACCAUCGACCGAUCCUGAUGUCUUCGGAUGGAUUUGAGUAAGAGCAUAGCUGUUGGGACCCGAAAGAUGGUGAACUAUGCUUGAAUAGGGUGAAGCCAGAGGAAACUCUGGUGGAGGCUCGCAGCGGUUCUGACGUGCAAAUCGAUCGUCAAAUUUGGGCAUAGGGGCGAAAGACUAAUCGAACUUC